Molecule: ribosomal RNA, 439 nt
Filed under: uncultured bacterium
Lineage: Bacteria
Description: bacterial SSU rRNA
Rfam family: Bacterial small subunit ribosomal RNA
Source: RNAcentral
GCAUAACGCGAAGAACCUUACCUGGGCUUGACAUGUUGGUGACCGGUGUGGAAACACACCUUUCCUUCGGGACACCAUCACAGGUGGUGCAUGGCUGUCGUCAGCUCGUGUCGUGAGAUGUUGGGUUAAGUCCCGCAACGAGCGCAAACCCCUACUGCCAGUUGCCAGCGGGUGAUGCCGGGCGACUCUGGCGGGACUGCCGGUGACAAACCGGAGGAAGGCGGGGAUGAGGUCAAGUCAUCAUGCCCUUUAUGCCUUGGGCGUACACACGUACUACAAUGGCCGGUACAGAGGGAGGCGAAGGCGCGAGCCGGAGCGGAUCCUAAAAGCCGGUCCCAGUUCGGAUCGCAGGCUGCAACCCGCCUGCGUGAAGUCGGAAUCGCUAGUAAUCUCGGGUCAGCAUACCGAGGUGAAUACGUUCCCGGGUCUGUACACACCG